RNAcentral lists this ribosomal RNA (775 nucleotides) under uncultured Neocallimastigales. Its description in RNAcentral is "partial large subunit ribosomal RNA". It matches the Rfam family "Eukaryotic large subunit ribosomal RNA", at positions 22 to 639 of the family's 3401-position model. Lineage: Eukaryota; Fungi; Neocallimastigomycota; Neocallimastigomycetes; Neocallimastigales. The record is from RNAcentral.
GUACACGCUGUGACUAGCAUAUCAAUAAGCGGAGGAAAAGAAACUAACAAGGAUUCCCCUAGUAACGGCGAGUGAAGCGGGUAGAGCUCAAAUUUGAAAUCUUAAAGGGUUUCCCUUUACGAAUUGUAGUUUAAAGAAGUGUUUUCUGUUGAGGUUUUGGUAAAAGUUCUUUGGAAUAGGACAUCAUAGAGGGUGAGAAUCCCGUAUUUGACCUUUACUUUCAACUUUGUGAUACACUUUCAAAGAGUCGGAUUGUUUGGGAAUGCAGUCCAAAAUGGGUGGUAAAUUUCAUCUAAAGCUAAAUAUUGGCGAGAGACCGAUAGCGAACAAGUACCGUGAGGGAAAGAUGAAAAGAACUUUGAAAAGAGAGUUAAACAGUACGUGAAAUUGUCAAAAGGGAAGCGUUUGACACCAGUGUUGUUUUUCUGAAAAUCAAUUAAAGAACUGUUUAUGCUAAGUUGUUUAGACUUUAUCAGCUAACUGUUUAGUUUUGAGCUUUUCUUUAAUGCACUUUUCAGUUAACAAGUCAACAUCAAUUUCUUUUGCUGUAAAAAAGUCUUGAGGAAGGUGGCUUGAGAUUCGUCUUAAGUGUUUAUAGCCUCUUGCCUAUGCAGUCGGAGAGAUUGAGGUCUGCAGCGUAGAUCCUUCGGGGCUAAAUGCAUUUGUGCUAAGUUAUAGCAUUUUAUAGACAACUUGUUGACUAUGAUUUGUCUUGUAGCUUACUCGCUUAUGUUAUUUUACCUACGCUUAGGAUGUUGACGCGCGUGUGUGCGUG